RNAcentral lists this long non-coding RNA (351 nucleotides) under Homo sapiens (human). Its description in RNAcentral is "HSALNT0343034". Lineage: Eukaryota; Metazoa; Chordata; Mammalia; Primates; Hominidae. The record is from RNAcentral.
CUUUAUCAUAGUGUUUGUGUAUAUGAACCUGGGAGCCAGAAUGGCUUGGAUGGAAUGGUGGAUCUCCAACUUAACAGUUGAGUGUACGCUAUGCUUAUUCUUAGAGGGAUUAAUUACCUGGCAUGAAGUUCAAACAAACGGUAAGCUGCUGGGACGAGAAUAAAAUUCAGCUACAGAUGAUCAGAUUACUUCUUGUGUCAACUAUGUAAAAUAUCUGAGACACAUCUUGGUGACCUUUAAUAACCCUCGUCUACUGGAACCAGUUUGACCCUUGAUAGAUAGAGACUCAAUGAAUCAGAUCUAGAAAUCUGAUUUUAAUAAAAUUUGCCAAGAAUCUGUUUCUGAUUUUGC